UACGAAAGGUGCAAGCGUUACUCGGAAUCACUGGGCGUAAAGGGCGCGUAGGUGGCGCGACAAGUCAGUGGUGAAAGCUCGACGCUCAACGUCGAGUCGGCCACUGAUACUGUUGGGCUUGAGCACUGUAGAGGCUAAUGGAAUUCCGGGUGUAGCGGUGGAAUGCGUAGAGAUCCGGAAGAACACCGGUGGCGAAGGCGAUUAGCUGGGCAGUUGCUGACACUGAGGCGCGACAGCGUGGGGAGCAAACAGG
This 253-nucleotide ribosomal RNA is filed under the name uncultured bacterium. RNAcentral describes it as "partial 16S ribosomal RNA". It matches the Rfam family "Bacterial small subunit ribosomal RNA", at positions 524 to 776 of the family's 1533-position model. The record is from RNAcentral.